This 301-nucleotide ribosomal RNA is filed under the name uncultured bacterium. Its description in RNAcentral is "partial 16S ribosomal RNA". It matches the Rfam family "Bacterial small subunit ribosomal RNA", at positions 509 to 810 of the family's 1533-position model. The record is from RNAcentral.
CAGCAGCCACGGGAAUACAGAGGGUGCAAGCGUUAAUCGGAAUUACUGGGCGUAAAGCGCGCGUAGGUGGUUUGUUAAGUUGGAUGUGAAAGCCCCGGGCUCAACCUGGGAACUGCAUCCAAAACUGGCAAGCUAGAGUACGGUAGAGGGUGGUGGAAUUUCCUGUGUAGCGGUGAAAUGCGUAGAUAUAGGAAGGAACACCAGUGGCGAAGGCGACCACCUGGACUGAUACUGACACUGAGGUGCGUAAGCGUGGGGAGCAAACAGGAUUAGAACCCCGGUAGUCCUGUCUCUUAUACAC